Molecule: unclassified non-coding RNA, 145 nt
Filed under: soil metagenome
Description: partial internal transcribed spacer 1
Source: RNAcentral
CCGAGUUUACAACUCCCAAACCCCUGUGAACAUACCACUUGUUGCCUCGGCGGAUCAGCCCGCUCCCGGUAAAACGGGACGGCCCGCAGAGGACCCCUAAACUCUGUUUCUAUAUGUAACUUCUGAGUAAAACCAUAAAUAAUCA